GGAAUAUUGGACAAUGGGCGAAAGCCUGAUCCAGCCAUGCCGCGUGUGUGAAGAAGGCCCUCGGGUUGUAAAGCACUUUCAGCGAGGAAGAACGCCUAGUGGUUAAUACCCAUUAGGAAAGACAUCACUCGCAGAAGAAGCACCGGCUAACUCCGUGCCAGCAGCCGCGGUAAUACGGAGGGUGCAAGCGUUAAUCGGAAUUACUGGGCGUAAAGCGCGCGUAGGUGGCUUGAUAAGCCGGUUGUGAAAGCCCCGGGCUCAACCUGGGAACGGCAUCCGGAACUGUCAAGCUAGAGUGCAGGAGAGGAAGGUAGAAUUCCCGGUGUAGCGGUGAAAUGCGUAGAGAUCGGGAGGAAUACCAGUGGCGAAGGCGGCCUUCUGGACUGACACUGACACUGAGGUGCGAAAGCGUGGGUAGCAAACAGGAUUAGAAACCCGGGUAGUCC
RNAcentral lists this ribosomal RNA (446 nucleotides) under uncultured bacterium. Its description in RNAcentral is "bacterial SSU rRNA". It matches the Rfam family "Bacterial small subunit ribosomal RNA", at positions 358 to 796 of the family's 1533-position model. The record is from RNAcentral.